This 232-nucleotide long non-coding RNA is filed under the name Elaeis guineensis (African oil palm). RNAcentral's name for it is "long non-coding RNA (EGUI_LNC063116)". Lineage: Eukaryota; Viridiplantae; Streptophyta; Magnoliopsida; Arecales; Arecaceae. The record is from RNAcentral.
GGUCCCUUGUUUAAAUAGGAGAGAGUUUGAUUUUGGGUAGGAGAUAAGAGACCAAACAACCUUGGACUCUUGCUUUUUAUGCCACUCACCCUUCAAAUUUUUUGCACCCAGGUUUCACAUGGGAAAGAGAGGAUUAUGUGACCUUCUUACAUGCUAAAUAAGAAAGGGGGCAUGGAAAAAUAUUGGCAUGCAAAUCUAGUUGUGCGUGGGACCUUUUAUGGCACAUGGAGAG